This 72-nucleotide transfer RNA is filed under the name Camelus bactrianus (Bactrian camel). It matches the Rfam family "tRNA". Rfam says of the family: Transfer RNA (tRNA) molecules are approximately 80 nucleotides in length. Their secondary structure includes four short double-helical elements and three loops (D, anti-codon, and T loops). Further hydrogen bonds mediate the characteristic L-shaped molecular structure. tRNAs have two regions of fundamental functional importance: the anti-codon, which is responsible for specific mRNA codon recognition, and the 3' end, to which the tRNAs corresponding amino acid is attached (by aminoacyl-tRNA synthetases). tRNAs cope with the degeneracy of the genetic code in two manners: having more than one tRNA (with a specific anti-codon) for a particular amino acid; and 'wobble' base-pairing, i.e. permitting non-standard base-pairing at the 3rd anti-codon position. The record is from Rfam by way of RNAcentral. Lineage: Eukaryota; Metazoa; Chordata; Mammalia; Artiodactyla; Camelidae. RNAcentral also lists the same sequence under 1 other name.
GAGGGUAUAUGUCAGUGGUAGAGUGUGUGCCUAGCAUGCAUGAGGUCCUGGGUUCAGUCCCCAAUACCUCCA